UUAACUAGAAAGUCGCACUCUAUUCGUUGUAUAACCCUAACUGAGCUGAAACUCAUCUCAUAUUUUCAGCUGGUGAUUGGCUCUAAUACCAAUAAUGACACCCUACUUUCUAGGAGGUCAUCUGUCUUACGACUACUCUAGCUCUAGCACACUUAACUCUUUUAACUUCUUAGGCCUAAACACUGCCCAAAAUGCUAUAGCCAAGUUUAAAAUUCACAACC
RNAcentral lists this long non-coding RNA (221 nucleotides) under Ananas comosus (pineapple). Its description in RNAcentral is "long non-coding RNA (ACOM_LNC029473)". The record is from RNAcentral. Lineage: Eukaryota; Viridiplantae; Streptophyta; Magnoliopsida; Poales; Bromeliaceae.